GACGAACGCUGGCGGCGUGCUUAACACAUGCAAGUCGAACGGAAAGGCCCUGCUUUUGUGGGGUGCUCGAGUGGCGAACGGGUGAGUAACACGUGAGUAACCUGCCCUUGACUUUGGGAUAACUUCAGGAAACUGGGGCUAAUACCGGAUAUGAGCUCCUGCUGCAUGGUGGGGGUUGGAAAGUUUCGGCGGUUGGGGAUGGACUCGCGGCUUAUCAGCUUGUUGGUGGGGUAGUGGCUUACCAAGGCUUUGACGGGUAGCCGGCCUGAGCGGGUGACCGGCAACAUUGGGACUGAGAUACGGCCCAGACGCCUACGGGAGGCAGCAGUGGGGAAUAUUGCACAAUGGGCGGAAGCCUGAUGCAGCAACGCCGCGUGCGGGAUGACGGCCUUCGGGUGGUAAACCGCUUUCGCCUGUGACGAAGCGUGAGUGACGGUAAUGGGUAAAGAAGCACCGGCUAACUACGUG
This 468-nucleotide ribosomal RNA is filed under the name uncultured bacterium. RNAcentral's name for it is "partial 16S ribosomal RNA". It matches the Rfam family "Bacterial small subunit ribosomal RNA", at positions 28 to 507 of the family's 1533-position model. The record is from RNAcentral.